RNAcentral lists this ribosomal RNA (442 nucleotides) under uncultured bacterium. Its description in RNAcentral is "partial 16S ribosomal RNA". It matches the Rfam family "Bacterial small subunit ribosomal RNA", at positions 338 to 795 of the family's 1533-position model. The record is from RNAcentral.
CCUACGGGUGGCAGCAGUGGGGAAUAUUGGGCAAUGGGCGCAAGCCUGACCCAGCAACGCCGCGUGAAGGAAGAAGGCUUUCGGGUUGUAAACUUCUUUUGUCAGGGAAGAGUAGAAGACGGUACCUGACGAAUAAGCCACGGCUAACUACGUGCCAGCAGCCGCGGUAAUACGUAGGUGGCAAGCGUUGUCCGGAUUUACUGGGUGUAAAGGGCGUGUAGACGGGUUGACAAGGCAGAUGUGAAAUCCUGCGGCUUAACCGGAGAACUGCAUUUGAAACUGUUGAUCUUGAGGACUGGAGAGGCAGAUGGAAUUCCUAGUGUAGCGGUGAAAUGCGUAGAUAUUAGGAGGAACACCAGUGGCGAAGGCGGUCUGAUGGACAGCAACUGACGGUGAGGCGCGAAAGCGUGGGGAGCAAACAGGAUUAGAGACCCGAGUAGUC